CGUCGGUGCUGAAUUAGUGAUUGGCACCGAUUUUUUAUCUCAACUAGGAGUAAGAUAUGUCACUAACUGCGGCAAAAAAAGCUGAAAUCGUUAAGGAUUUUGGUCAAGGCGAA
This 113-nucleotide non-coding RNA is filed under the name Pseudidiomarina piscicola. Its description in RNAcentral is "Idiomarina sp. CECT 9734 S15". It matches the Rfam family "Ribosomal S15 leader". Rfam says of the family: The E. coli Ribosomal S15 gene 5' UTR can form two alternative structures. The record is from RNAcentral. Lineage: Bacteria; Pseudomonadati; Pseudomonadota; Gammaproteobacteria; Alteromonadales; Idiomarinaceae.